Molecule: ribosomal RNA, 367 nt
Filed under: uncultured organism
Description: bacterial SSU rRNA
Rfam family: Bacterial small subunit ribosomal RNA
Source: RNAcentral
CGGAGGGUGCAAGCGUUAUCCGGAUUCACUGGGUUUAAAGGGUGCGUAGGUGGGCAAGUAAGUCAGUGGUGAAAUCUCCGGGCUUAACCCGGAAACUGCCAUUGAUACUAUUUGUCUUGAAUACUGUGGAGGUCAGCGGAAUAUGUCAUGUAGCGGUGAAAUGCUUAGAUAUGACAUAGAACACCAAUUGCGAAGGCAGCUGGCUACACAAAUAUUGACACUGAGGCACGAAAGCGUGGGGAUCAAACAGGAUUAGAUACCCUGGUAGUCCACGCCCUAAACUAUGGAUACUCGACAUUUGCGAUAAACUGCAAGUGUCUGAGCGAAAGCAUUAAGUAUCCCACUGGGAAGUACGAUCGCAAGAUUG